AGGAUGAACGCUAGCUACAGGCUUAACACAUGCAAGUCGAGGGGCAGCAUGGUCUUAGCUUGCUAAGGCCGAUGGCGACCGGCGCACGGGUGAGUAACACGUAUCCAACCUGCCGUCUACUCUUGGACAGCCUUCUGAAAGGAAGAUUAAUACAAGAUGGCAUCAUGAGUCCGCAUGUUCACAUGAUUAAAGGUAUUCCGGUAGACGAUGGGGAUGCGUUCCAUUAGAUAGUAGGCGGGGUAACGGCCCACCUAGUCUUCGAUGGAUAGGGGUUCUGAGAGGAAGGUCCCCCACAUUGGAACUGAGACACGGUCCAAACUCCUACGGGAGGCAGCAGUGAGGAAUAUUGGUCAAUGGGCGAGAGCCUGAACCAGCCAAGUAGCGUGAAGGAUGACUGCCCUAUGGGUUGUAAACUUCUUUUAUAAAGGAAUAAAGUCGGGUAUGGAUACCCGUUUGCAUGUACUUUAUGAAUAAGGAUCGGCUAACUCCGUGCCAGCAGCCGCGGUAAUACGGAGGAUCCGAGCGUUAUCCGGAUUUAUUGGGUUUAAAGGGAGCGUAGAUGGAUGUUUAAGUCAGUUGUGAAAGUUUGCGGCUCAACCGUAAAAUUGCAGUUGAUACUGGAUAUCUUGAGUGCAGUUGAGGCAGGCGGAAUUCGUGGUGUAGCGGUGAAAUGCUUAGAUAUCACGAAGAACUCCGAUUGCGAAGGCAGCCUGCUAAGCUGCAACUGACAUUGAGGCUCGAAAGUGUGGGUAUCAAACAGGAUUAGAUACCCUGGUAGUCCACACGGUAAACGAUGAAUACUCGCUGUUUGCGAUAUACGGCAAGCGGCCAAGCGAAAGCGUUAAGUAUUCCACCUGGGGAGUACGCCGGCAACGGUGAAACUCAAAGGAAUUGACGGGGGCCCGCACAAGCGGAGGAACAUGUGGUUUAAUUCGAUGAUACGCGAGGAACCUUACCCGGGCUUAAAUUGCAGAUGAAUUACGGUGAAAGCCGUAAGCCGCAAGGCAUCUGUGAAGGUGCUGCAUGGUUGUCGUCAGCUCGUGCCGUGAGGUGUCGGCUUAAGUGCCAUAACGAGCGCAACCCUUGUUGUCAGUUACUAACAGGUUCCGCUGAGGACUCUGACAAGACUGCCAUCGUAAGAUGUGAGGAAGGUGGGGAUGACGUCAAAUCAGCACGGCCCUUACGUCCGGGGCUACACACGUGUUACAAUGGGGGGUACAGAGGGCCGCUACCACGCGAGUGGAUGCCAAUCCCCAAAACCUCUCUCAGUUCGGACUGGAGUCUGCAACCCGACUCCACGAAGCUGGAUUCGCUAGUAAUCGCGCAUCAGCCACGGCGCGGUGAAUACGUUCCCGGGCCUUGUACACACCGCCCGUCAAGCCAUGGGAGCCGGGGGUACCUGAAGUGCGUAACCGCGAGGAGCGCCCUAGGGUA
This 1434-nucleotide ribosomal RNA is filed under the name uncultured organism. RNAcentral describes it as "16S ribosomal RNA". It matches the Rfam family "Bacterial small subunit ribosomal RNA". The record is from RNAcentral.